AAUCAACGCUGGCGGCGUGCCUAACACAUGCAAGUCGAACGCGAAAGCCCCGCAAAGGGGUAAGUAGAGUGGCAAACGGGUGAGUAACACGUGGGUGACCUGCCUUAGAGUGGGGGAUAACGUCCCGAAAGGGACGCUAAUACCGCAUAACAUCCUGCCUUUUGAAGAGGUGGAGAUCAAAGCCGGGGACCGCAAGGCCUGGCGCUCAAAGAGGGGCCCGCGCCUGAUUAGCUAGUUGGUGAGGAACGGCCCACCAAGGCGACGAUCAGUAUCCGGCCUGAGAGGGCGGACGGACACACUGGGACUGAGACACGGCCCAGACUCCUACGGGAGGCAGCAGUGGGGAAUUGUUCGCAAUGGGCGCAAGCCUGACGAACGCAACGCCGCGUGGAGGAUGAAGGUC
Molecule: ribosomal RNA, 403 nt
Filed under: uncultured bacterium
Lineage: Bacteria
Description: bacterial SSU rRNA
Rfam family: Bacterial small subunit ribosomal RNA
Source: RNAcentral